Molecule: long non-coding RNA, 1749 nt
Organism: Melospiza melodia melodia
Lineage: Eukaryota; Metazoa; Chordata; Aves; Passeriformes; Passerellidae
Exons: 3
Source: RefSeq, a predicted model, not a curated record
AAAUGCUUUCUGCUGUGUAACUCCACCUGGUGCAAGUAUAACAGACAUUAUACUUCAGUCAGAAUUUGCAGUUGUUGAACUUUAAUAUUAUGUUUUUCUUUAUGGAAAAAAUAUUUGAAUUUUCCUUAAAACUUGAAAAUGAAACAUUUAUCUAGUAUGGGGUGCAAGUUUUUAGCUCAGUACAGCACUAUCAGUAUUUGUUUGACAGUGGGAGGACAUUUGAGCUGGCUGCAACACCCGCUAAGAGGAGGAUUCAUUUUCAGCUAAAUAAAGGUCCCAAAUACUUGACCUUGGACAUGUACUACAGACAGAAGAGAUAUUGUAACGGGCAGAAGCAUCAUGACUUGAGGCAUGAAGGAUUGUUUUGACUCCACAUCUCCGUGUUUUAUGAGUGUUUCUCACUGCUGGAUCCGUUCAAAGAUGCUGGAUGCCAUAUUUCUUGUUUCUCUGUGCACUUGCCUUCUGGAAGUGUUCAAAACCAAUACUGCCUCUACUAUUCCUUGCACUCUACUACUGCUGAAGUACCGAGAGUGCUCCUGCUUUGUGCUAACGCCUACCCUUCAGUUCCAUGUAUGAUUUUUCCAUGGCAACGUGCAGACCAAACUGAGGCUUACCCAUCAGUGAUACUCACUGCAAAGGCACAUGCAGCUGAUAAUACAGCUGACCCCUGUUGAUUGAUGACUUUUGGAUGGGAGAAAGAGACUGACAUCCAGCAACUGGUCAAGAUAAGAGCUAUAUGAAGACUGUGCCCCGGGAAGAAGAAGUCUCUGCAGAUCAACUACUGCACAGUGCUGUGACUGCAAGAAGGCCAGUUAGACUUCACACACACCCUCCAUGACAAUAUAAACGUCUCUCUUGCCCAGUUUUAUCUGGCCUUCUAACCCUGCGCAGUGGUUAGGAAAGGAAGGCAGGGAGAAUAGCUGCGAGGUGUUCCUGCCUCUCAGCUGUGCUUAGCCUGAUUUCGGCGGUGCAGCGGGAGCAGCCCAGCUGAACGCGCCGGACCGCAGCGGGCAGUGGCCGGGAAAAGGCCCCGCUGAGGGCCAGGAUUCUCUGCAGGGACAGGUUCCUCCCGGUGCAGCGGGAGCAGCCCGGCUGAACACGCCGGACCGCAGCGGGCAGUGGCCGGGAAAAGGCCCCGCUGAGGGCCAGGAUUCCCUGCAGGGACAGGUUCCUCCCGGUGCAGCGGGAGCAGCCCGGCUGAACACGCCGGACCGCAGCGGGCAGUGGCCGGUAAAAGGCCCCGCUGAGGGCCAGGAUUCCCUGCAGGGACAGGUUCCUCCCGGUGCAGCGGGAGCAGCCCGGCUGAACACGCCGGACCGCAGCGGGCAGUGGCCGGGAAAAGGCCCCGCUGAGGGCCAGGAUUCCCUGCAGGGACAGGCUCCUUCCACAGCAGCGGCCGCCGCCUCACACACGGCCCCUGCCAGCGCCACCUGCUGCUCCGAGCCGUCUGCUGCAGCUCGACCAGCCCGACCUGCCGCCGUGAAAACCAAUUAAUUACUCUCUGACAAACGCACCGAAACACGGCAACAAAAGCUAAGUCUGCUUCUCUUCUAGGAUUUUUCCUUAAGCUCUCUCCAGUAAUAACUCUUUGCAGGAGGUGAAGCGUACACUGUAUUUCACUUGCACAAAAUACAUUUGUGUAUGCACACAUGGAGGGAAGAGUGGUGGAUCAUUACUUGAACUAGCCAACACAGAAAUGUUGCAUGUAUGAUGUAAUUCAUGCCAGUGAAAAUAAAACGUAAAAAGGAA